Long non-coding RNA from Ctenopharyngodon idella (grass carp), 864 nucleotides. RefSeq lists it as uncharacterized. Lineage: Eukaryota; Metazoa; Chordata; Actinopteri; Cypriniformes; Xenocyprididae. The record is from RefSeq and is a predicted model, not a curated record. The transcript has 2 exons.
AAAUCCUCUCCCAUGACUUCAUGGGAUAGUAAAGUGUCCAUCAUAUGCACACUUCAGAAUCUUGCUGGAAGAAGUAGGUCAGCUGGGUACUUUUUGCCUACUGUUUUAUGAGCUGUGUUGGGGAAAGUUACUUUUAACAGUAAUGCAUUACAAUAUUGCUUUACUCCUUAAAAAAGUAACUAAUUAAGUUACUUUUUAUAAAAAAGUAAUGUGUUACAUUACUUUUGCGUUACUUUUUCUCACCUGGGCUGGGCUUGCUUGUUUGUUUUUUAAUAACAAUAAAAAAAGUUAUAUUUUUUGGCAAAAUUAAUGUUAAGGCCCUUUCACACCAAAAGUGAAAUGAAUAAGCCUAUCAGGCUGAAGGAAAUGCAAAUUUAUGCCUGUACAGUAGAGGGCGCAGCUCAAACAAACCUUUCAGCUGUGCUGCCAUUCUGGAAUAAAGAAGAAAAGGAUACAAGAAAAGGAAGUUCAACACAAGGGCUGCAUCCGAAAACUGGAAAAUGCUGCCUUCAGAGGACACAUUUCAAGGAGGAAAAUCAAUUUCUGAUGACAAUCCUGUGUGCUGCACUGAAAGGCAGAGAGUUCCUGAGUCCUGGGAAAGUUGCUGUUGGAGACGGAGGCUAAUCUCGGCAGAAUGAAUCAUUCACACUCUUAUUUGGACAUCUGUGUUAACAUUUUCCCCCCCGAUUCCUCCCCACCCUCAUAAACUCUGCCCGACUGGUGACGGUUUCAUUAGAAGUUUUUGCAGGUGGUUGAAAGUUUGGUGGGACAGCAAUAUGAUGACGCCAACUGGACUGAAUUUCCUCCUACAGUGUCAACAGACGCAUACUUUAUUCUUAAUAAUAAAAUUAUUUUUAAAAUGUU